This 234-nucleotide unclassified non-coding RNA is filed under the name Hevea brasiliensis (rubber tree). Lineage: Eukaryota; Viridiplantae; Streptophyta; Magnoliopsida; Malpighiales; Euphorbiaceae. The record is from RNAcentral.
GCAAGAACCACCAGCAGUACAACACUCACCAAGCCGAAACAACGCAUCGUAGUCUUCUCUGUACUGUUCUUGAUCUUGUUGGUGCUCUUACCAUUUCUUGCAAAGCAGCAAGAUUUGCAAAUUUAAAUAACAAAAAGCAGCCCAAGAAUACAAACUUUUCAAGAUAAUGAUUCGUUUCUUGGACUUUAGACGGUCAAGAAUCAAGAACCAAGAAACAAGAAAAAGAAAGCUAAU